UUCCAAACUAUCCCUCCUCCUUGCUCUCCUUCCUCUCCAAGAAACCAUGUCUCUUAGCCCAUUGAUGCUCAGGUCACUGGUGAGGCUACUAACAUCACUGGUUCGUGAUCCGGCAGCUUCGGUCACAACGCUCCUCUACUACAGUGAGCUUCUACCUCAGAAUAUCGUGCUAGAGAGAUUAGUUCGGCACGAAUUGCUUGACCGAGAAAACUAUUUGUUCCACUUCCUGGUCAACUUCCUGAGAUGUUUUUGGUAAGAACAGCAGCUAUAGACGACUCGGUGAUUCCAGUACAGGAGCCGGCAUUUUUAUUGUAAUUGCAUACCAUUAGACAUUGGUUAGUUCUGAGAGUAUUUUGAGUACUGUUACUGACUUCAACAUUUUAAAUCAAAUGCGUUCUCACUCUUGUAAUGUUGGUGAGAUAUGCUUUUUGGACAUUUCUUGUGUAAUUGCAAACAAAUCGGAGUAAAUGGUCGGCCGUAUUGGCCGGAUAUACC
Molecule: RNA transcript, 495 nt
Organism: Fragaria vesca subsp. vesca
Lineage: Eukaryota; Viridiplantae; Streptophyta; Magnoliopsida; Rosales; Rosaceae
Exons: 2
Source: RefSeq, a predicted model, not a curated record